AUUGAACGCUGGCGGCAGGCCUAACACAUGCAAGUCGAGCGGAUGAAGGGAGCUUGCUCCUGGAUUCAGCGGCGGACGGGUGAGUAAUGCCUAGGAAUCUGCCUGGUAGUGGGGGAUAACGUCCGGAAACGGGCGCUAAUACCGCAUACGUCCUGAGGGAGAAAGUGGGGGAUCUUCGGACCUCACGCUAUCAGAUGAGCCUAGGUCGGAUUAGCUAGUUGGUGGGGUAAAAGCCUACCAAGGCGACGAUCCGUAACUGGUCUGAGAGGAUGAUCAGUCACACUGGAACUGAGACACGGUCCAGACUCCUACGGGAGGCAGCAGUGGGGAAUAUUGGACAAUGGGCGAAAGCCUGAUCCAGCCAUGCCGCGUGUGUGAAGAAGGUCUUCGGAUUGUAAAGCACUUUAAGUUGGGAGGAAGGGCGGUAAGUUAAUACCUUGCUGUUUUGACGUUACCAACAGAAUAAGCACCGGCUAACUUCGUG
This 484-nucleotide ribosomal RNA is filed under the name uncultured bacterium. Its description in RNAcentral is "partial 16S ribosomal RNA". It matches the Rfam family "Bacterial small subunit ribosomal RNA", at positions 30 to 507 of the family's 1533-position model. The record is from RNAcentral.